This is a non-coding RNA of Oncorhynchus mykiss (rainbow trout), 1459 nucleotides long. The record is from RefSeq and is a predicted model, not a curated record. NCBI's taxonomy places the organism in Eukaryota, Metazoa, Chordata, Actinopteri, Salmoniformes, Salmonidae.
ACCAAUUUGGACUAUUUUAAGUAGGUUCCUUACAUGAAAUCCAAAUAAAAAUCAAUUUAAAUUGCAGGUUGUAAUGCAACAAAAUAGGAAAAACUCCAAAGGGGAUGAAUACUUUUGCAAGGGACUGUCUUUGGUUGAAACAUGGACACACAAAAAAAUUGCUGGUUAGGGCAGGAGCCAUCAUUAAUCCUCCCAAUACCUACAGCACUCAUAGUAGCAGCCCAGCAAGGACGCGUAGAGGCCAUGCGAUACCUCAUUAGGGAAGGUAGGUUACAGUGUGUGCAAUGCUGUAACAGAUGACAUGGUUGGCCUUAUAGUACAUAUGGCUUUUUACUGUAGUCACACAGACAGGAGAUACAUUCAUUCUUAUUAGACUCAUUCAGUUUUCUCCAAAGUCACUUUUUCCUCAGGUGCUGACAUCAACAUGCAGACGUGACGGUGCUACAGCCCUGUAUGAGGCCAGUAAAAAUUGCCACAGGGAGAUAGUGGAGCUGCAAUUCUCUUCCAUCACAGACGCCAAUAAACCCACCAAGACAGGAAUCCUACCUCUACAUGUUGCUGCUCCGUAUGGACACCAUGAUGCUAUCAUACUUUGUAUGAAUAACCUACCUCUUCUCAAGUGGCUUUUGGUCAAUGGCUGUGGUAUCUGGGCCUACUUCAGAUGUGCAUAUGGUUGCAGCCCACACCCAGCCCAGGACAUCAUAGUCAUCGACAUCAAUCAUGUCUCUUUUAACCUGCACAUGACUUGUUGCCAGCAAAGUACAGUUUUGUGAGUUGAUCUCAUCAACUGUGUGUAACUGGGCAGGGCCCAUCGUAGACUUACUGCUGGACUACGUUGGUGAUGUUCAACUGUGUGCCAGACUCAACAAGCUCCUGGAUGGAUGGCAGGAAUGGCCCAGCAUCAAGACCAAGUCAUUGUCAGCCCAUCCACUGAUGCACCUGUGCAGGCUAAGGAUCCAUGAGCAGAUGGUUGUGUCCAGACUCAGGUCUCUGGACAGCCUACCCCUCCCAGAGACUGCUGCAGUACCUCAGCCUGACCAGACACAGCUUUGAUGACUUCUGCCCUGAUGGCAAAUAAGGCUUGUCAGUGUUCCUGUGUGUUGUGCCUUAUAGUAUAUUACGUUACCAGUUUACAGGAUUUUUAAAAUGGUAUUUACGGGGGUAGUGAUUGUGCAAAAUGUGUGUAAUGGAGAAUAUGUGUGUCGUGUGCACGUGGAAUGUGUGUGUCGUGUGCACAUACAGUGGAUGUGAGCUGCAGGUCUGUGUGGAUGGGCUGACGAAUGAUGAUAGAUAAAGGCACAGCAGUUGAUAGUCUCCUGAAGAAGUGCAGCAUAACUGAGCUAAAAUUAACUCAAGGUAAGCUUUUAAAAUACCUGUCUUUCAGAUGUUUAGGCCGAGUUUAACAAAGGGAGACAAUCAAUAUGAGGCUUUAUGAAGUGUGCUUGCUUGGAUGGAAUUU